RNAcentral lists this transfer RNA (66 nucleotides) under Nasimyia megacephala. Its description in RNAcentral is "tRNA-Gly". It matches the Rfam family "tRNA". From Rfam's summary of the family: Transfer RNA (tRNA) molecules are approximately 80 nucleotides in length. Their secondary structure includes four short double-helical elements and three loops (D, anti-codon, and T loops). Lineage: Eukaryota; Metazoa; Arthropoda; Insecta; Diptera; Stratiomyidae. The record is from RNAcentral.
AUUUAUAUAGUAUAAUACAGUAUAUAUGACUUCCAAUCAUAAGGUCUAGCUACGUUAGUAUAAAUA